GACGACGCUGGCGGCGUGGAUUAGGCAUGCAAGUCGAACGGUAUCAUCCUUUCGGGGGUGAGAGAGUGGCGAACUGGUGAGUAACACGUAGGUUAUCUACCCUCAAGACGGGGACAACCCAGGGAAACUUGGGCUAAUACCGGAUGUGAGCAACUUUUAGUUGUUUGAAAGGUGGCGUAAGCUGUCGCUUGGGGAUGAGCCUGCGUCCUAUUAGUUAGUUGGUGAGGUAACGGCUCACCUAGGCAAUGAUAGGUAGGCGGCCUUAACGGGUGGUCGCCCACACUGGGAUUGAGAUACGGCCCAGACUCCUACGGGAGGCAGCAGUCGAGAAUAGUCUACAAUGGUCGGAAGACUGAUAGUGCGACGCCGCGUGAACGAUGAAUCCCUUCGGGGUGUAAAAGUUCUUUUAUAUGUGAGCAGUGCUUCUUAUAUUAACAGUAUGGGGAGAGAGAUAUUAGCAUAUGAAUAAGCAACGGCUAACUCCGUG
This 487-nucleotide ribosomal RNA is filed under the name uncultured bacterium. Its description in RNAcentral is "bacterial SSU rRNA". It matches the Rfam family "Bacterial small subunit ribosomal RNA", at positions 33 to 507 of the family's 1533-position model. The record is from RNAcentral.